AGGACGAACGCUGGCGGCGUGCUUAACACAUGCAAGUGGAGCGACGAACCAGGGCUUGCCCUGGGGCAGAGCCGCGAACGGGUGAGUAACACGUGGGUUACCUGCCUCGAUGACCGGGACAACCCGAGGAAACUCGGGCUAAUACCGGAUGUGCCCGCAAGGGGAAAGGAAGCUUCGGCCUCCGCAUCGAGAUGGGCCCGCGGCCCAUUAGCUUGUUGGUGAGGUAACGGCUCACCAAGGCUUCGAUGGGUAGCUGGUCUGAGAGGACGAUCAGCCACACUGGGAUUGAGAACGGCCCAGACUCCUACGGGGGGCAGCAGUGAGGAAUUUUCGGCAAUGGGGGAAACCCUGACCGAGCAACGCCGCGUGCAGGAAGACGGCCUUCGGGUUGUAAACUGCUUUUCUUUGGGACGAGCAAGGACGGUACCAGAGGAAUCAGCCCGGCUCACUACGUGCCAGCAGCCGC
This 466-nucleotide ribosomal RNA is filed under the name uncultured bacterium. RNAcentral's name for it is "SSU rRNA". It matches the Rfam family "Bacterial small subunit ribosomal RNA", at positions 26 to 518 of the family's 1533-position model. The record is from RNAcentral.